This 587-nucleotide ribosomal RNA is filed under the name Dendrelaphis caudolineolatus (striped bronzeback). RNAcentral describes it as "partial 12S ribosomal RNA". The stretch from base 162 to 587 matches the Rfam family "Microsporidia small subunit ribosomal RNA", at positions 752 to 1279 of the family's 1311-position model. Lineage: Eukaryota; Metazoa; Chordata; Lepidosauria; Squamata; Colubridae. The record is from RNAcentral.
UUAGAAAAGAAGCCAGCCUAGGCUGUAAAAAGCCAUAAGAGACACUAACCACACCCUAACAUUAUACCAAUUCAACUCGUGAAAGCCGGGACACAAACUAAGAUUAGAUACCUUACUAUGCCCAGCCAUAACACAACAAUUAAAUUACAAAUUGUUCGCCAAAUAACUACGAGUAAAAACUUAAAAUUUAAAAGACUUGACGGUAUCUCACAUCAACCUAGAGGAGCCUGUCUAUUAACCGAUACUCCACGAUUAACCCAACCCAAGCUAGCCCUACAGUCUAUAUACCGCCGUCGCCAGCUUACCUUAUGAAAGAAACAAAGUGAGCAAGACAGUCACACACUAAUACGACAGGUCGAGGUGUAACUAAUGCAGGGGUCAAAGAUGGGCUACAUUUUCUAAUACAGAAAACACGAAUAAAAUAUGAAACUAAAAACUGAAGGCGGAUUUAGCAGUAAUAUAAGAACAAAACACUUAAAUGAAACUAAAGCAAUGAGAUGCGUACACACCGCCCGUCAUCCCUGUCAACAAAACUAACAAUAAAAUAUACCAUAAAAAACCUUAAAGCAGGGCAAGUCGUAACAUGG